RNAcentral lists this ribosomal RNA (497 nucleotides) under uncultured bacterium. RNAcentral's name for it is "partial 16S ribosomal RNA". It matches the Rfam family "Bacterial small subunit ribosomal RNA", at positions 28 to 507 of the family's 1533-position model. The record is from RNAcentral.
GAUGAACGCUGGCGGCGUGCCUAAUACAUGCAAGUCGAGCGAACAGACGAGGAGCUUGCUCCUCUGACGUUAGCGGCGGACGGGUGAGUAACACGUGGAUAACCUACCUAUAAGACUGGGAUAACUUCGGGAAACCGGAGCUAAUACCGGAUAAUAUAUUGAACCGCAUGGUUCAAUAGUGAAAGACGGUUUUGCUGUCACUUAUAGAUGGAUCCGCGCCGCAUUAGCUAGUUGGUAAGGUAACGGCUUACCAAGGCGACGAUGCGUAGCCGACCUGAUAGGGUGGUCGGCCACACUGGAACUGAGACACGCACCAGACUCCUACGGGAGGCAGCAGUAGGGAAUCUUCCGCAAUGGGCGAAAGCAUGACGGAGCAACGCCGCGUGAGUGAUGAAGGUCUUCGGAGCGUAAAACUCUGUUAUUAGGGAAGAACAAAUGUGUAAGUAACUAUGCACGUCUUGACGGUAACUAAUCAGAAAGCCACGGCUAACUACGUG